UGGGGAAUAUUGGGCAAUGGGCGCAAGCCUGACCCAGCCAUGCCGCGUGAGUGAUGAAGGUUUUCGGAUCGUAAAGCUCUGUGGGGAGGGAAGAAACAGUACGGUGCUAACAUCACCGGACCUUGACGGUACCUCCUUAGCAAGCACCGGCUAACUCCGUGCCAGCAGCCGCGGUAAUACGGAGGGUGCAAACGUUGCUCGGAAUCAUUGGGCGUAAAGCGCACGUAGGCGGCCUGGUAAGUCGGAUGUGAAAUCCCUCGGCUCAACCGAGGAAGUGCAUUCGAAACUGCCAGGCUUGAAUAUGGAAGAGGGUCGCGGAAUUCCCGGUGUAGAGGUGAAAUUCGUAGAUAUCGGGAGGAACACCAGUGGCGAAGGCGGCGACCUGGGCCAAUAUUGACGCUGAGGUGCGAAAGCGUGGGGAGCAAACAGGAUUAGAUACCCCCGUAGUCC
This 450-nucleotide ribosomal RNA is filed under the name uncultured bacterium. Its description in RNAcentral is "bacterial SSU rRNA". It matches the Rfam family "Bacterial small subunit ribosomal RNA", at positions 355 to 796 of the family's 1533-position model. The record is from RNAcentral.